This 301-nucleotide ribosomal RNA is filed under the name uncultured bacterium. Its description in RNAcentral is "partial 16S ribosomal RNA". It matches the Rfam family "Bacterial small subunit ribosomal RNA", at positions 509 to 808 of the family's 1533-position model. The record is from RNAcentral.
CAGUCGCCGCGGUAAUACGGAGGGGGCAAGCGUUAUCCGGAAUUAUUGGGCGUAAAGGGUACGUAGGUGGCCUUUUAAGCGUAGGGUAUAAGGCAAUGGCUCAACCAUUGUUCGCCCUAUGAACUGGAAGGCCUGAGUGCAGGAGAGGAAAGCGGAAUUCCUAGUGUAGCGGUGGAAUGCAUAGAUAUUAGGAGGAACAUCAGCGGCGAAGGCGGCUUUCUGGACUGCAACUGACACUGAGGUACGAAAGCGUGGGGAGCAAACAGGAUUAGAUACCCCUGUAGUCCCUGUCUCUUAUACA